RNAcentral lists this unclassified non-coding RNA (331 nucleotides) under fungal sp. Its description in RNAcentral is "partial internal transcribed spacer region". The stretch from base 1 to 46 matches the Rfam family "Eukaryotic small subunit ribosomal RNA", at positions 1786 to 1831 of the family's 1831-position model. The record is from RNAcentral. Lineage: Eukaryota; Fungi.
AAGUCGUAACAAGGUUUCCGUAGGUGAACCUGCGGAAGGAUCAUUAUCGAAAUCAUCACACGGAGUUGGAUGUUCACUCUCUCUCGUUGUUGCUGGCCCUUUCACGAGGCAUAUGUGCACACAAGAGUCUUCAGUGAGCCUCUCCAACUUCUGAUUUCUCCACACACACACACACCUGUGAACACAUGUGGAACGAAGGGGGGGAGAGGCUGGAUAACGGCCUUUCUUUUUCUGACCUCCAUCUUUUUAAAUUCACACACGCUUGUAAAACUCGAGAUGUACUAUUUGUAAUGAAAUAAAACAACUUUCAACAACGGAUCUCUUGGCUCUC